RNAcentral lists this long non-coding RNA (362 nucleotides) under Lupinus mutabilis. RNAcentral describes it as "partial ncRNA". The record is from RNAcentral. Lineage: Eukaryota; Viridiplantae; Streptophyta; Magnoliopsida; Fabales; Fabaceae.
AUGAAACCCUAUGUUUUCUACAUCGUCAUUAUCAUGUUCAUCGCUGUAGUUGUCGUUAUCAUCAUCAUCAUUGUUGUUAUUAUCUCCUUCACUGUCGUCGUCACGCAUAGGAUCAUGGCCUUGUGGUCCAUUAUUAUCGUCAUCAUCUGCUGCAUUAUUAUGAUUUUGUGCUACACGGAUGGGAGUGAUGAUGAUGGAGUGGAAAGUGACGGUGAAUUGGAGGUGGGUAUUGUUGAUGUUGAAGUCAUAGAGAGUGAUGUUGAAGGGGUAACUUAUUUUGUUAUGUAAUAGGCUUGUGUUGGAAUCAUAAGGAGGAUUAUAGUUAUAGAUUAAAAGAGUGUCUUGUAGCGGCGCUGCUGGUG